CUUUGAGUGGAGUGUCCAGAAAAGCGCUAUAUAAGUUUCUGCAGCGACGAAAUGGAAUGGAUUGAAGCUUGACUUAACAGAAGUUGAAAGUGAAGCUUAUUUCUUGUUGGAAUAAACCAUCAGAAAGAAUAACAUACCCAGUUUUUUCCAGAGGGUUGAGGCAUGAACGCUGACAUUAGAUGCAUCAAGAGAGGCGGGAAGAUCCUUAAAUUGUUUGGUCUGUGACGUCCUGGAUGAUUUUUCAGGUGACUCUUCAGAGAUAUUGUCAGUAUGACCGGUCCCGAUUAGAGUCACUGCUGUGGUUUUGAAUACUUUCCAGUUUUAAAAUGUCUGACAGUUAGUUGAUGGAACUCCAAAUGUUUAGAUAUGGUUUUCCGAUCCUCUCCAGACUGAUGAUCAUUAACUGCUAUUUUUCUUAGGUAUUCUGAAAUCCCUUUUGAUAUGGCAGGAAGUGUUUCUACUAAUCUGUAUAGUGAGGACCAAACUCAGAUUCAAUCCUUGUGUACCUAUUAUUGUUAUUGUUUAUUUGGUAAAUAUAACCCAUUUUGGUUGUUUAAGAAAAGACUAAUUUUGAUCAAACAAGGGUAUCAUGGUAAGAAAUUAUAAUUCCCCUAAUUAUAUUGGGGGUGUACAAAUUCUUUCUUGGCACUGGUAUUGACAAAACAACAUUUUGGCUCUGUGUUUUACUACAUGUAAAAUGUGUAAAAGCAGCUAUCACAGGGACUAAAAGAAGCUGAAAAUUGUUGUUGAAUCAUUACAUCUGAAUUCUCACUGGGUUACUGUAAAAUGGAUUAAGAAACAUUUAUCUA
Lepisosteus oculatus (spotted gar) is the source of this 809-nucleotide non-coding RNA. NCBI's taxonomy places the organism in Eukaryota, Metazoa, Chordata, Actinopteri, Semionotiformes, Lepisosteidae. The record is from RefSeq and is a predicted model, not a curated record.